This 850-nucleotide ribosomal RNA is filed under the name uncultured bacterium. RNAcentral describes it as "bacterial SSU rRNA". It matches the Rfam family "Bacterial small subunit ribosomal RNA", at positions 1 to 838 of the family's 1533-position model. The record is from RNAcentral.
GGAUCCAGACUUUGAUUAUGGCUCAGGAUGAACGCUAGCGACAGGCCUAACACAUGCAGGUCGAGGGGCAGCGGGGAGGUAGCAAUACCUUUGCCGGCGACCGGCGCACGGGUGAGUAACACGUAUGCAAUCCACCUGUAACAGGGGGAUAACCCGGAGAAAUCCGGACUAAUACCCCAUAAUAUGGGCGCUCCGCAUGGAGGGCUCAUUAAAGAAAGCAAUUUUGGUUACAGACGAGCAUGCGCUCCAUUAGCCAGUUGGCGGGGUAACGGCCCACCAAAGCGACGAUGGAUAGGGGUUCUGAGAGGAAGGUCCCCCACAUUGGGAACUGAGACACGGUCCAAACUCCUACGGGAGGCAGCAGUGAGGAAUAUUGGUCAAUGGUCGGCAGACUGAACCAGCCAAGUCGCGUGAGGGAAGACGGCCCUACGGGUUGUAAACCUCUUUUGUCGGAGAGUAAAGUACGCUACGAGUAGUGUAUUGCAAGUAUCCGAAGAAAAAGCAUCGGCUAACUCCGUGCCAGCAGCCGCGGUAAUACGGAGGAUGCGAGCGUUAUCCGGAUUUAUUGGGUUUAAAGGGUGCGUAGGCGGCACGCCAAGUCAGCGGUGAAAUUUUCGGGCUCAACCCGGACUGUGCCGUUGAAACUGGCGAGCUAGAGUGCACAAGAGGCAGGCGGAAUGCGUGGUGUAGCGGUGAAAUGCAUAGAUAUCACGCAGAACCCCGAUUGCGAAGGCAGCCUGCUAGGGUGCGACAGACGCUGAGGCACGAAAGCGUGGGUAUCGAACAGGAUUAGAUACCCUGGUAGUCCACGCAGUAAACGAUGAAUACUAACUGUUUGCGAUACAAUGUA